Molecule: ribosomal RNA, 568 nt
Filed under: Pseudomonas sp. AP42
Lineage: Bacteria; Pseudomonadati; Pseudomonadota; Gammaproteobacteria; Pseudomonadales; Pseudomonadaceae
Description: bacterial SSU rRNA
Rfam family: Bacterial small subunit ribosomal RNA
Source: RNAcentral
UAACGUUCGGAAACGGACGCUAAUACCGCAUACGUCCUACGGGAGAAAGCAGGGGACCUUCGGGCCUUGCGCUAUCAGAUGAGCCUAGGUCGGAUUAGCUAGUUGGUGAGGUAAUGGCUCACCAAGGCGACGAUCCGUAACUGGUCUGAGAGGAUGAUCAGUCACACUGGAACUGAGACACGGUCCAGACUCCUACGGGAGGCAGCAGUGGGGAAUAUUGGACAAUGGGCGAAAGCCUGAUCCAGCCAUGCCGCGUGUGUGAAGAAGGUCUUCGGAUUGUAAAGCACUUUAAGUUGGGAGGAAGGGUUGUAGAUUAAUACUCUGCAAUUUUGACGUUACCGACAGAAUAAGCACCGGCUAACUCUGUGCCAGCAGCCGCGGUAAUACAGAGGGUGCAAGCGUUAAUCGGAAUUACUGGGCGUAAAGCGCGCGUAGGUGGUUUGUUAAGUUGGAUGUGAAAUCCCCGGGCUCAACCUGGGAACUGCAUUCAAAACUGACUGACUAGAGUAUGGUAGAGGGUGGUGGAAUUUCCUGUGUAGCGGUGAAAUGCGUAGAUAUAGGAAGGAAC